CCUACGGGUGGCUGCAGUGGGGAAUAUUGCACAAUGGGCGAAAGCCUGAUGCAGCAACGCCGCGUGAGCGAUGAAGGCCUUCGGGGCGUAAAGCUCUGUCCUCAAGGAAGAUAAUGAAGGUACGUGAGGAGGAAGCCCCGGCUAACUACGUGCAAGCAGCCGCGGGAAUACGUAGGGGGCUAGGGUUAUCCGGAAUUACUGGGCGUAAAGGGGGCGUAGGUGGUUUCUUAAGUCAGAGGUGAAAGGCUAAGGUUCAACCGUAGUAAGCCUUUGAAAAUGGGGAACUUGAGUGCAGGAGAGGUGAGUGGAAUUCCUGGUGUAGCGGUGAAAUGCGUAGAUAUUAGGCGGAACACCAGUUGCGAAGGCGGCUCUCUGGACUGUAACUGACACUGAGGCACGAAAGCGUGGGGAGCAAACAGGAUUAGAUACCCCUGUAGUC
This 439-nucleotide ribosomal RNA is filed under the name uncultured bacterium. RNAcentral describes it as "partial 16S ribosomal RNA". It matches the Rfam family "Bacterial small subunit ribosomal RNA", at positions 338 to 795 of the family's 1533-position model. The record is from RNAcentral.